This 247-nucleotide ribosomal RNA is filed under the name uncultured bacterium. RNAcentral's name for it is "partial small subunit ribosomal RNA". It matches the Rfam family "Bacterial small subunit ribosomal RNA", at positions 26 to 285 of the family's 1533-position model. The record is from RNAcentral.
AGAAUCAACGCUGGCGGCGUGCCUAACACAUGCAAGUCGAACGAGAGAGUGGUAGCAAUACCAUGAGUAAAGUGGCGCACGGGUGAGUAACACGUGACUAACCUACCCUUGAGUGGGGGAUAACUGAGGGAAACCUUAGCUAAUACCGCAUAAUACCCACGGGUCAAAGGAGCAAUUCGCUCGAGGAGGGGGUCGCGGCCGAUUAGUUAGUUGGCAGGGUAAUGGCCUACCAAGACGAUGAUCGGUA